Molecule: ribosomal RNA, 305 nt
Filed under: uncultured bacterium
Lineage: Bacteria
Description: bacterial SSU rRNA
Rfam family: Bacterial small subunit ribosomal RNA
Source: RNAcentral
GCCUACGGGACGCAGCAGUGGGGAAUAUUGCCCAAUGGGGGAAACCCUGAUGCAGCGACGCCGCGUGAGUGAAGAAGUAUUUCGGUACGUAAAGCUCUAUCAGCAGGGAAGAAAAUGACGGUACCUGACCAAGAAGCCCCGGCUAACUACGUGCCAGCAGCCGCGGUAAUACGUAGGGGGCAAGCGUUAUCCGGAUUUACUGGGUGUAAAGGGGGCGCAGACGGCAAUGCAAGCCAGGAGUGAAAGCCCGGGGCCCAACCCCGGGACUGCUCUUGGAACUGCAUGGCUGGCGUACAGGAGGGGCG